GACGAACGCUGGCGGCGUGCUUAACACAUGCAAGUCGAACGGAGAGGCCCCUUUGGGGGUCCUCGAGUGGCGAACGGGUGAGUAACACGUGAGUAACCUGCCCUUGACUUCGGGAUAACUUCAGGAAACCGGGGCUAAUACCGGAUAGGAAUCCUUGCUGCAUGGUGGGGGUUGGAAAGCUUCGGCGGUUUUGGAUGGACUCGCGGCUUAUCAGCUUGUUGGUGGGGUAGUGGCUUACCAAGGCUUUGACGGGUAGCCGGCCUGAGAGGGCGACCGGCCACAUUGGGACUGAGAUACGGCCCAGACUCCUACGGGAGGCAGCAGUGGGGAAUAUUGCACAAUGGGCGGAAGCCUGAUGCAGCAACGCCGCGUGCGGGAUGACGGCCUUCGGGUUGUAAACCGCUUUCAGCAGGGGCGAAGCUUGUGGUGACGGUACCUGCAGAAGAAGCACCGGCUAACUACGUG
Molecule: ribosomal RNA, 465 nt
Filed under: uncultured bacterium
Lineage: Bacteria
Description: partial 16S ribosomal RNA
Rfam family: Bacterial small subunit ribosomal RNA
Source: RNAcentral